Molecule: long non-coding RNA, 4378 nt
Organism: Cairina moschata (Muscovy duck)
Lineage: Eukaryota; Metazoa; Chordata; Aves; Anseriformes; Anatidae
Source: Ensembl
AUGGGCUUCUUGAAAAGUCUGCAAGCUUGUCUCUUGCCUUGUGGAGACGGACAGGCAGUGCCAGUGCAAAGCCCGGCGAAUCGGAGGCAGGUGAAGGGCAGCUCAGCCAGAAUGGAGUGCCGGCUGAGCAGUAAUGCCAUCGUGCACUGGUACAAGCAGCUUCCUGGAGAGCCACCCAAGAGGAUACUGUACGUGUCGGGACAGAGUCCUACGUUUGAUGAUGGCUCUGAUGGCCGAAAGUAUCAAGUGUGGAAACAUGCCUCUGAACCUCUCUAUAGUCUCACAAUUGAUUUCUUAACCCAGAGGGACACUGGCACUUACUACUGUGCAUACUGGUAUUAUUAUCAAGGCAUCACAGUGUUAGAUGGCCAAGAUAAACCAUACAAAAAGGCACUUGGCACUCCGAACCGCAAGCUCUGAGCUCUGCCCCAACACAGAUACUUCCUCAUUCAGCCCUGCUGUGAUGAUUUUCUGCCAUAGGAUAGGAAAAACAACAACGUAGUGUGACAACUGCUAAAUAGAGGAUGUUAAUAAUCAGGAUAUUAUUUCCAAACUCACACAUCUCUGUAACAAGCAGAAACUUCAGGGCCCUAUCAAAUGAACCACAGAAUCAGAAUAUCUCGAGCUGAAAGGGACCCAUAAAGAUCAUCGAGUCCAACUCCUGGCACCACACAGGUCUACCCAAAUUUUUAGACCAUGAGACUAAAGGCACAGACAAAUUGCUUCUUAAACUCCAACAUGCUUGCUUGGUGCAGUGACUGCUUCCCUGGGGAGCCUGUUCCAGUGUGUGACCACCCUCUCGGUGAAGAACCUCUUCCUGAUGUCUAGCCUGAACCUCUCCUGCCUCAGCUUGACACCAUUCCCGUGGGUUCUAUCACUGGUGACUAAGGAGAAUAGAUCAGCACCUGUCCAUCUGUUCCCCCUUGUGAGGAAGCUGUAGGCCACAAUGAGGUCUCCCCUCAGCCUCCUCUUUUCCAGGAUGAACAGGCCAAAUGACCUCAGCUGCUCCUCAUAUGUCUUCCCCUCUAGGCCCUUCACAUUUUCAUAGCACUCCUGAGGUGCAAAUGGGAACUUUGCUGUCAAGACGACAGCAAAGAAGGUACAAAGUGAACGCAGUCUGUCUGUGCCUUGUGAACAAACAGCAGCUGAAGGUUUCUAUUGUUUAUUGGAAUCCAUGGAGCAAGCAGACAAAUAUAUCUCCAUCCCCUUGCUGCUCUCUCUUGAAAUCAGUUGCGCAUGUGAAACAAGGAGAGAAGACUGCAUGAUUUGGUAGACUUUCCUUCCCAUUUUCCUACUGUCUUCCUUGGCAUUUCAGUCCCUACAAAGUCCUAAAACAAACCAGAAACUCUACUUUAUCAUCAUAGUUUCUCCCCUGAGGUGUCCAGAAUAGAAGUGAAGUCCUCAGCCAUGGGCUAUGCCUCCAACAAACAGACAGAUGGCAAGGAGAUCAUCAGCAGUACUCAGCAUGGAUUCACCAUGGAGAAGUCAUUCUUGACCAAUCCCAUACACUUCUACAAUUAAAUGUCCAGACUGCUGGAUGAGGGGAGAGAAGUGCAAAUAGCCUGGGGAUUUGAUUAAAGCCCUUGACACUGUCACCACUAAGACCCUAAGAGAAAGGCUGUUGAUGUGAGGGGCUGGAGGAGGAGACAGAAAGUUGGGCUGAGCAGCUGGGCCCCAAGAGUGGUGAUCAGAGGCACAAAGGCCUCUGAAAGGCCUUUAGUAGUGUACUAGCAGUGUACCCCGGGAAUCAGUUCUGGGUCUGGUCCUUUCUAACAUCUUCCUUAAUGCUUUGGAUGACGGGACAGAGUGGUUCCUCAACAUGUUUGUUCACAACACCAGUAUGGGAGGAGUGGAAGAUACACCAUAGGGCCAUGCUGCCAUCCAGAGGCACCUUGUCAGGCUGGAGAAAUGGGCUGACAGCAGCCUCAUGAUGUGUAAGGGGGACAUACAGGGCCCUGCACAUGGCACAUGUUUUCUGCUUUUCCUUCCCGCUCUUUCUUUCCAAGAAGUGCUUGCACCUCAUCUCAGCUUCAAAACCCAAACCCUGCAGCUGUGCAUUUCCUCCCCACGCAAAACCACAGGCAAGGCACCUGCUCCUGGGGAUGCUGCUGUGGUUGCUGCAGGUUGAUCCCCACGAGCUGCUGCAGUGGGGGCAGCACAGGCACAGGGGCAUUUCGGCAGGCCACAGCUGGGUGGCCAGGCUGAGGCAGCAAGACGUGGUCCCUGACGGGGUGGGGACAUGCCAUGCCUCCUGCCACUGCGGGGGACCGCAUACACUCAGCGCCCAUCAGGGUGGCCUCUGGGCUGGGAGCUUCACGCCCUGAUGUACGGCUGCAGCUGCUCUCACUCUCAACCCCUUCUCAGCAGCUCUGCCUCAAGUUUCCACACGCCACGCUCCUUGGACUUACCAGUCUUUCUGAAAAGCUGAUGGGAUGACAACGUCCUCACCAACGUGAGCAUUCCCAGGUCUAAGCCCUUUUCCAGGCUGCAGUGGUUUCUCUGCAAACCUAGCCCCACACGGUUGUGCCCAGAAGAGCCAUCGCUGGAGACGUCUUCUCCCCUACCUCAACCCUGUCCCCAUCUGGGGCCCCUUUCCCUAUCCUCUGAGUCUCAGCUGAGCGGGACCAGCAAACAUGCUGCUGCUGGCAGCACUUGUAGCCACUGCCGCUUGGUCUGGUAAGUGCUUUCUACUUCAUCUACAUUUUCCUCACAGGCAAACAUGGUUGUACUAACAGGUAUUUUCCCCAGUCACUAAUUACCACUGAAUAUCACUGACUUAAUAACUAAAUUAAUUUCUCGUUUUCUCUUUUUUUUUUUUUUGUUUUGUUUUGUGUUUUUUUUUUAAUUUUUUCCUAGAUGGACUUGCACAGGAAAUUCCCAUACAGACCCCUGUAUCCAUCACCAAAUCUCAAGGCAGUACACGUGUGCUUUGUCAUUUUAAGCGUGUCUCUGCAAAUUUUGAUAACACCAUCAUUCACUGGUACCAACAGAAAGGGAAUAAAGCCCUAGAGUGGAUGUUCUACAUUACAACAAGGACAACAACAGCAGAUAAGAGCUUCCAAGGCCGCACGUAUACAAUUGAAACGGUUUCUAAACAGAAAAUGUGUACUCUCAUAAUAAAAAGUAUAGUUCCAGAUGACACAGCUACCUACUACUGUGCCUACUGGGACUCUCACUAUGACAGAAACCCAGUGAUCACCUCGACCAAAACUCCCUUGGUGGCUCAACCACAAGCGAUUUGAAAGAUCCCAACUCACUUCCCCCGGCGUGGAUGAGCCACCCGGCCUCAACACAGCACAGCCGGGACUGGCUCAGCGCUGAGCCACUCCUUGGAGGGGGCAGCUGCCAAAAGCUGGGGAUUUCAACGCAGCAAGUGGCACAUGCAAAGGGAACGGUGAAAGGCGAAUGCCUAACCCAGCCUCAGCACCUCCUCUUCCCCUCGUUUUACUCAAGCAGGGAACUGGUUGUAAGGAUUUCUUUACUGGAUAGGGGAAAUCUUCCGUGCCGCUGUUCCUGGAAUGUUGUCCUCAGCAUGUUGUUCUGGAGAUUUUCAAAGCCCGUCGCUUGACACAGAAAACUGAAAGAAAAUUUUCCCUUGAAAGCUUGAGUGCUUUCAAAAUCCCACUGAGAUGAGGGGGAAGACUCCCUCUGACUUGGAGUGAGAAAGUCCCAAAAAUCUGGGGGCAUAAAUUGGGAGACUUAUUUGAUAGGGUUGGUAAAAUUACGUGUUGAGUAAGCAACUGGUUUGUACUUCAAGAAAGGAAUGUGGCAGCAUCAGCAUUAGGAAACUGUCAUUAUAAAGCCUAUUCUUGAGACAUUCUUAAUGGGGAAGCAGUGGAGAUGGAGUCAAGCUGGGCAGAGGGCUGCUCAUCAGCACGUAUUCAGAUCUUGGUAUUGAAUGUGUAAUCACGAGAUUCGGGCUUGCCUGAUAAAUGCCAGACAAUAGAAAAAUUCGUAGGCCCAUGUACAGCAUCAGAUUUGGGAAUCAUACAAUGCUUGAUGAGAAAAUUAGAUACUAAAUAAGCACAAGACAUAGAAAGAUGUUUAUAAAUAUAAAGAGGAAACUAAAAAUAGGAAUGUGAGUGUAUUGCUACCGAUGUCCAGAAGAUGUCAUGACUAGAAAGCAUUUCUGUUUAAGCUAGUGAGCUAGACACAUAUCCCAGGUGCUCAGUUCUAGUGUGGCACCAAGACCGUGGGAGGUGGCUAAGUGCAAAGACAGCUGCCCCUGAUGGGUAGAGAGAAACGCCACUUUCUCAGGGAUGUGGGAAAUGGCAGGGGUAGGGCCAGGGACCAGAAGGCUUAUUUGAGGGCUGGGCAUGCUUUUGCUGCAUAUUUCUGACUUUUAAAUUACUGCAGCUUUCAGUAACAGUUUGAAAGC